CUCCCCUAAAGUGUCCUGUGGACCCGCCACGACCACGGUCAUCUUGCCGUCGAUGCUCUGUACCAUGAGCCGGAUGGCAUCAGAUGAGGAGUUUGAUUCUCGAGAGAUAGCGACGACGUCGGAAUCCAUGACUCGCAAAGUGCUUUUUACCGGAGCCGGUGGUUCCUCAACCAAUAGAAUCCUGCCAACUCAAAAGCUGUCCUGUGUUGUAUCCCUAUAUUUUACUGUUUUCUUCAUUGAAGCCACUCUAUUUAAAUAGCUGAAGCCCACCCACAUGAUUUCAGCCAUGCCACUCGCUUUAAUCAUACGAUUGGGAUAGAGGCAAGUCUCUCAUUUCACACACGUACAUGCAUGCAUUUAAAAGGAUCAACCUUUCAAUUUAAACUGGUUUGAAAUCCUGACAAAAAAUUGAUACACAUAUCAAUUUCUGUUUCGCAUUUUAAACUUCCAGUUUUAUUAACUUUGAUACACAUAUCAAUUUCUGUUUCAGUAAAUUUAACAAUGCUGAUUUGAAUUCUUUCUAUCACAUAUUUCAAUUAUUUCAACAAACUAAUUUCACUCAUUUUAGAAAAUAAUUUCAAUAGUUUCAGCAAAACUUAUUAUUUAAAAAAUGAGUGUACUACAGAAACAACAACAAAAAAAUCAAUCUUUUUAGAUUUCAAUCAUGAUUUCUGUUAUACCAAUUACACAUAUAAGAAAAAAUUGACACAAACAAUUUCAAUUUAUAUUACCAUAACUUGUUCAAUACAAAUCACACUGAUAUAACAAAUUACACAUAUAAGAAAUACCAAUUUUAUAUAUUUCAGACAAGUAAUUUCCUAUAUUGUCACAAAUAAGUGAAACUGAUUAUUCAAAUGGGUGACAUAAACAAUUUCAAUUUCUUAGAAAAAAGGUGAUUUUAGCUACUCCAAAUUCAUUUUUACUCAAAAAGAGUGAAAUCCAUUGUAGCUAAUGUGAUACAAACAAUUUCAAUUUAUAUCUCGACAACUUUUGCAAUACAUAUCACACUGAAAUAACAAAACACACACUUAGAAAAUACCAAUUUCAAAUAUUUCAGACAAGUAAUUUCAUAUAUUUUUAAUUUUAAUAAGCGAAAUAUUUCAUACACAUACCAGUUUCACUAUUUUUUUCACUUCUAAAUGAACAAAGUAUAUUUCAGUUAUUCGGGUAUCUUAUUGCACAAAAGAGUGAAACUCAUUAUUUCAAAGUACUGACAUAAACCAUUUAAAAAAAAAUGAACCCACAAGUUCUCAUUCACAUAAUGAAGAAACAACAGUUUCACAAAGAGAAACAUGCAUUCCAAUUUCUAAAAAAAAAUGCAUUUCAACAAAAAAAUUCCAAUUCCAAUUCUGUUUCACUCACGAAUGUUAGUUUCACAAAUCCGCAUUUCACAUCAGAUAUAGCAGUUUGACAUAUCUACAUAUCUAUUUCGAUUUCAGUACAACAAUAUCACAUAUAUCACACAAUCUGCUAUAGAUCUUCCCAUCGAUUUCAAUUAGACACCUUCAUUUCCAUCAAAUAUAACAGUUCAAUAUAUCACACAAGCAGGGGAGUUGUCCAUCUAGUGAAGAAGCAAGGGGGGAUCUCAAAACAUGUACCAUAAAACAAAAAUCAGGAAGUAAACACAGAGAUAAAGAUAUUAGGGGAGUUGUGCUUACUCGGGGGUGGACGCAUAUGGUCGUGGGCUUCAUGACUCACCAGAUCCGGUGGCGGUCAUUCUUGGAUUCGCCGGAUCCGGUGACGACCCUGCUCGUCGAACCGUCGUGCUAGGUGGCUGCUGUGGAGGAAUAACGCCGGAGUAGGUCUCCCCAACGCCAGCGCCCACGGCAAGGCGGGGUCAGGAGGUUAGGACCGGCGGACUUUGUCGGUCCUAGAGGAGAGGUGGCGGCGAUCUGUGGAUGUUAGAUGGUACUAGGGUUGUUCGGGCAGGGAAGGCAUCACUGGCAAAUAUAUAGUAUGGGUACUGAGUGAGAAGACCACAUGAUUUAUAUCUGAUGGCUCAAAAUAUAACUUGUUUAUGUCCACACAACAAAU
This 2034-nucleotide long non-coding RNA is filed under the name Triticum aestivum (bread wheat). RNAcentral describes it as "long non-coding RNA (TAES_LNC017811)". The record is from RNAcentral. Lineage: Eukaryota; Viridiplantae; Streptophyta; Magnoliopsida; Poales; Poaceae.